This 1445-nucleotide long non-coding RNA is filed under the name Salvia miltiorrhiza (redroot sage). Its description in RNAcentral is "long non-coding RNA (SMIL_LNC000610)". The record is from RNAcentral. Lineage: Eukaryota; Viridiplantae; Streptophyta; Magnoliopsida; Lamiales; Lamiaceae.
UAUUAAGCUCUUUCAUUUUCUGAAAACAAACACCACCAAAACCCAGCAAAUCAACUUCUUGUUCUGUUGCUUUCGAUUCAAGUGGUAAUUUUAAUUCUUAUGCAGAAAUUAUGUAAUUUUAUUCCAGCACAUCAAUGAUUUCUUCAUUGUUUUCAUAUCUGCCCAAAACCCAAAACUUUACAACAGAAUUCUGUUUUCAAAUCAAAACAUGCAUACAUCCAUUUUCUGUAAUUCCAUAAGGAAUCAAAUAGAAUAAAGAUAUUAUUAGGAAUCAAAUAGAAUAAAGAUAUUAUUAAUUACACAGAAAAGGGAAAAAUAGGAGAAGAAACUGGAGAUGGAGUUUGUGGCAUAGAACAGGGGGAGGGACGAUGGAAUAGCGCCGCCGUGCGCUGUUGCUGGCGGAAGGCGGCGGCUGGCGGAAGGAAGAAGGGGCAGUGGUGCGGUGGCCUCGGCCGCCGUUGCGCUGUUCCGGUCGGACAAAGGGGGAGGCGGAUGGGCGGUGCUAGAUCUGGAAAAGGAGGGACGGCGGCUNACCCUCAUUGCCUUCUUCGAGAGUAUUGGAUUCAGGUACCCCUCCCCCUCUUGAUUAUUGUCCUCCCAUUGUUUUUUAGUUGUUUAGGUCUUUAGGUUUUUAGUCUUUUGUUUUGUGUGUCUUGUUUAAUUUAGGCUUGGGGUUGGUAUGUCUUUCCAAUCGUUGAUCUGCCUUUAUUUAUUUAUUUAUUUAUUUAUUUUUGUUUUUAUGUCCGUGUCAUGGCCUAUCCCUCCUCUCCACCCACUUUGCCCAAGGCAAAGUGUGUGGGUAGGGGAAGAGGAUAGCCACCUUUUUGUGCUUUGUGUUUUUGUUUUACUCACUCACUUUGCUAAAUUAAGGCAAAGUGUAUGAGUAGGGAAAUGUGUGUCUAUUUUUUGUUGCGUUCUAGGUCCAUGAGUCGGCCCUUACAUGACUACUUUACCCAAGAUAAAGUGUGUGAUGGGGGGGGGGGGGGGAGAGGACGCCUACAUGACUUCAGAGUCUUGUUUACUACUUUGAGCAUGGAGAAAAUAAAGGCCAAACAACUUUUUAGAAAUUUUCCAGUUUUGCAUAAUCGUAUGUAGAUAUAUAUGACGAAUUGAAUUGAUCAUGAACCAUAUGAGUUUUUUGAGCCAAUUUUUGUUGUACAUAUCAUGACUCGCAUUCUUUUAUUCUUGUGUGUACGUAUAUGACGGACUUAUCUUGGCAAUAUGCUAGACCUUGCGUGCUUCUUUUAAUCAAAACUCCAUUGACCUAGAUUUUUAUUUCGAUUUUUGUUUCUAGAUUUUGCAUAAUUAUUCAGGUGAAUUCGAGCAGAACAAAUUCAUGAUGAGCAAAUUCUUAAACCCUAGUAGCAGCGACGGCGCCGGUGAGGGAGAAAGGAAGAGAGAAGAAAGGGAAGUCAGCGGCGUGAGGGAGAAAGGAAGAGAGUGAA